RNA transcript from Mandrillus leucophaeus (drill), 785 nucleotides. It is a transcript of the gene named 60S ribosomal protein L8 pseudogene, with no coding region annotated. The record is from RefSeq and is a predicted model, not a curated record. Lineage: Eukaryota; Metazoa; Chordata; Mammalia; Primates; Cercopithecidae. The transcript has a single exon.
AUGGGCCGCAUGAUCUGAGGACAGUGGAAGGGUGCCAGGUCUGCGUUCCCCGCCCAGGUGAAGCACCACCAGGGCAUCGCGCGCCUGCACGCCAUGGACUUCCCCCAGCUGCUACAAGAGCACAGUGAAGGACGCUAUCCACUACCCGGGCUGCGGUGCACCCCUCGCCAAGGUGGUCUUCCGGGAUUUGUACCGGUUUAAGAAGUGGAAGGAGCUGUUCAUUGCUGCUGAGGGUAUUCACAUGGGUCAGUGUGUGUAUUGCAGCAAGAAGGUCCAGCUCAACAUUGGCAGUGUAGACACCAUGCCUGAGGGUACGACCGUGUGCUGCUUGAAGGCCAAGCCUGAAGACUGUGGCAAGCUGGCCCGGGCAUCAGGGAACGAUGCCUCCAUUAUCUUCCACAACCCUGAGACCCAGAAGACCCAUGAAGCUGCCCUCUGGCUCCAAGAAGGUUAUCUCCUCAGCCAACAGAGCUGCGGGUGGUGUAGUGGCCACAGGUGGCCGAAUUGACAUAAGCCAUCUUGAAGGCUGGCCGGGCCCACCACAAAUAUAAGGCAAAGAGAAACCGCUGGCCACGAGUACGGGGUGUGGCCAUGAACCUUGUGGAGCAUCGUUUCAGAGGUGGCAAACACCAGCACAUCGGCAAGCCCUCCACCAUCCGCAGAGAUGCCCCUGCUGGCCACAAAGUGGGUCGCAUUGCUGCCCGCCAGACUGGACGUCUCCGGGGAGCUGAGACUGUGCAGGAGAAAGAGAACUAGUGAUGAGGCGCUCAAUAAAGUUUGUCCUU